RNAcentral lists this ribosomal RNA (119 nucleotides) under Pteropus alecto (black flying fox). The record is from RNAcentral. Lineage: Eukaryota; Metazoa; Chordata; Mammalia; Chiroptera; Pteropodidae.
GUCUAUAGCCAUGCCACCCUGAACAAGCCAGAUCCCAUCUGAUCUUGGAACCUAAGCAGGGUUGGGCCUGGUUAGUACUUGGAUGGGAGACCACCUAGGAAGACCAGGUGCAGUAGGCG